AACCAUAUGAUUUCACUCAUAUGUGGGAUAUAAAACAGAAAGCAACAAAUGAACAAACAAGACAAAUAAAACAAAACUUCACAGACACAGACAGCAGCAUGGUGGUUACAGAGGUAAGGGGGAAGGUAAAGGAGGGGACCGGAAAUGGAAUACAUGGUGACAAAAGGUGACUUGACUUCGGGCGGUGAACCCGCAAGCGAUAUAGAGAUGGUAUAUCACAGAAUUCAGUGGUACACUUAAAACUUAUUUUAACUCGUAUUAACCAGUUAUUCCAAUAAACUUAAUAAAAAAAUGUUUAAAGAAUCUACAUCAAAUGCCUAGAACACUUCAAGCAUUCAAUAAAUGGUAGUUACUAAUACUUCUUCUCAUUGUGCCAAUUUAAAUAAUUCACAUUUCAUACAUAACUCCUCAAAUCAUGUGAUACCUCCAAGCCUAGUUAAAGAAAGGAACCUAUCACCCGCCAUCCCUGGUUACUCGAGUAGCCUUCGAACACUUGAGGUAACAAUCCUGUGCAGUUACCCAAUGUAAAAAGAGAAAUUAUACAGCACGUAUGAUUUGAAGAAUUCUUCGAUUUUUAGAGCUUGGCGAAGCACAGCCAGUUUUGCUGAAUGUCUGUCGUAUGGGAGAACCCCAUCGGUCCAUGCCCCUUGUAGGCCCUCAGCGCCCACUGAAUUGGGAGCACCUGGGAAAACUGCGGGAGCAAAUGAGUUCCAUCAGUGUCAGAGCUGCAAAACCUUACGGACCAGCUGAUGCACAUGGACAGAGGACAAAAUGCAGAAGUGAAGGCCCUUUGCAAAAUCUAAACUCCCUCCACAGAAUGGAAUAUUAUUCAGCAAAAAAAUAUAAAGGAAGCACUUAAACCUGCCACACAAUAUGGAUGAACCUUGAAAAAGAACCAGUCACAAAAGGGCAAAUAGUGUAUGAUUCCAUUUACAUGAAAUAUCCAGAAUAGGUAAAUGUAUAUAGAAAGUAAAUUAGUGAUUGACUAGAACCCAAAGGUAUUGGGGUCAGGGAGUGACAGCUAAUGCGUACAGGGUUUCUUUUAAGGGGGAGGAAAAUGUUCUAAAAUUAAAUUGUAAUGAAGAUUGCACAACCCUGAGAAUAUGACAAAAUCUUGAACUGCACUGCACACUUUAAAGGGAUAAAGUGUAUGGCAUGUAUGUGAAUUAUACCUCAAUAAAGCUAUUUUAAAAAUCUAACUCAUUAACUGAUGAGGGGAGCCUUCAUCUUUCCUGCCUGUAGAACUGUCCUCUCUGUUAAAAACUAAAAAGAAGAGCUCGGAGCGCUGUCUUGGGUUUAAAGCUAUAAAAUAUCUUGACUUCGAAAGUACGCUUACCUUGCCUAUGCACCUAUCACCUCCACUUUAUUUCAAUAAUCAAUCAUUUUAGAUGAACUCCAGUGAUUGCAAAACUACUUAUGCAAGGAUACAUAAAUGCAGAAUUUAUCUAUGCUCAAACUAAAUCCUGCCGGUCACAUUCUUUAUUGCUCCACAGCAUGACUGGUCUCUCUCUAGUACGAAUGGGAAUGGGCCACCUUCAUUAGCCCUCUGCUUUUGAGUACCUGCUACAGUGACUUUCAAACAACUGAAGCUCCACUUUCACAGGAUCUCUUUGUUCUCCUAAGAAAUACAGGAAGAAUGGCAUCACAAUGACAGGCAAGAGUCUUCCUUACUGAAUUGGCUAACCCCAUCUGCUAGGGACCUAACGAAAUCAGCGUUAUUCAUUUGAGUGGGAGUGUUAUUGCAGCAAAGUAAAGAAGACAUGAUCUCCCUCUUGAUUAGGAGAUGAAGAAGAUAAAUUAAGAGUAUGGGCCACAUAAUGGAUGAUGAUCUUAGAAACCUAACUAGACUAAAGAAUCUGUAGUCUGGAAUGUUUUACUGAUUGCAAAUCAGACCUGUAUUUCAGGGUUUCCACAAGCUUUUGUUUUUAAGUUUAGAAGAGCUUAUAUCUUAUUAACGUGCCAGUUACUGUGGGAAAAGCCAAAAAAAAAAAAAUGUGGACCUACAGCCCCUGCCUCAUUCCAAAAAUCUGAGGAAAAAUUAGACAUAUUCA
Phyllostomus discolor (pale spear-nosed bat) is the source of this 2051-nucleotide long non-coding RNA. RefSeq lists it as uncharacterized. The record is from RefSeq and is a predicted model, not a curated record. The transcript has 2 exons. Lineage: Eukaryota; Metazoa; Chordata; Mammalia; Chiroptera; Phyllostomidae.